GGCUCAGAUUGAACGCUGGCGGAAUGCUUUACACAUGCAAGUCGAACGGCAGCACAGACUUCGGGUCUGGUGGCGAGUGGCGAACGGGUGAGUAAUAUAUCGGAACGUGCCCAGUCGUGGGGGAUAACGUAGCGAAAGUUACGCUAAUACCGCAUACGAUCUAAGGAUGAAAGCGGGGGACUCGCAAAGAGCCUCGCGCGAUUGGAGCGGCCGAUAUCAGAUUAGGUAGUUGGUGGGGUAAAGGCUCACCAAGCCAACGAUCUGUAGCUGGUCUGAGAGGACGACCAGCCACACUGGAACUGAGACACGGUCCAGACUCCUACGGGAGGCAGCAGUGGGGAAUUUUGGACAAUGGGCGCAAGCCUGAUCCAGCAAUGCCGCGUGCAGGAAGAAGGCCUUCGGGUUGUAAACUGCUUUUGUACGGAACGAAAAGGUCUGGGUUAAUACCCUGGGCUCAUGACGGUACCGUAAGAAUAAGCACCGGCUAACUACGUG
Molecule: ribosomal RNA, 495 nt
Filed under: uncultured bacterium
Lineage: Bacteria
Description: bacterial SSU rRNA
Rfam family: Bacterial small subunit ribosomal RNA
Source: RNAcentral